This is a non-coding RNA of Schizosaccharomyces pombe (fission yeast), 775 nucleotides long. Lineage: Eukaryota; Fungi; Ascomycota; Schizosaccharomycetes; Schizosaccharomycetales; Schizosaccharomycetaceae. The record is from the annotation of a GenBank genome assembly.
UCUUUUUGAAAACCCCAGCAGGCCUACGUGGGGGAAGUGACUUACGACUUGAUUCCUUUUGGAGAUACCCCAGCAGUACUGAAUGGGGGUCACUCCAAGCCAUAUUCCAUUCUGCAAAUACGGACGGUGUUCGUUUUGAACAUUUACUAAUCAGCGUUUCGGUAAAUACUGGCCAAAUUACCCCUAGCUAACAUGUUGCUUGAGUAGUAUUGACGAAAACGUUAUCGUACGAAGUUUGCUUGACUCAUAACUACGGAACAACCAAUCAUACAUUAUCAUAAACUUUAAACAAUGAUUUAGUCAUGGGAAACCAAAGAUGAAAACAUUUGAACGAAGAGGAUUUGCUUCUUAUUUCAAACCGGCACAUAGCAUAUAAUCCGCGUUUCAGCAGGCAUCCGUAACUUUCCUUUUACUCUAUUUCUUUUCUUCUUUCCCUCUGCUUGUCAAAUCUACUGUUCAGCUAACUUUUCAUUUUCGCUGUUGGUUGCGCUAUUUUUAAAGAACAAACGCGAGUUUCUUCACGUAUAGCUUUUUCUUUUAUAUUAUUGUCGAUUCAUUAGUUUAAAAAGCGCGUCCUCGUGUUUAAACAAGAUUGUCCUUUAUUUUUCUCUCUCUCCCUUUUUCCGUCUUUGCGUGUCUCUCUUUCUAUUUUUUUCGCUUCAUUCUUUCUUUCUCUUGUGUACGCACGCGUUCAAAUUUCUUUUUCUUUUUGUUCGUACCUUCUCACUUUCACUGUUUAAUCUGCACCUCCUUUCUUCUUUCUCUUUGCAUUUGC